This 705-nucleotide ribosomal RNA is filed under the name Triticum aestivum (bread wheat). RNAcentral's name for it is "partial small subunit ribosomal RNA". Lineage: Eukaryota; Viridiplantae; Streptophyta; Magnoliopsida; Poales; Poaceae. The record is from RNAcentral.
AUGACAAUGCUUUCGAUAGUCUGUACUAAAUUACUUUGUAUGAAUGAACAUCUCGGCCGUCGAGUAGCUGAUCACCAUUUCAAAUUCUAUAUCCGUGGUUCAAGAAAUGGAAUUGCUAUUCUCGAUUCAGACAAGACACUGAUUUGUUUACGAAACGCUCUUCAUUUUAUAGGAUCUCCCAGUCGUCAAAAAGGCCGUUCCUUCUUUUUAAAGACCAAUCAUUUAUUUAUUUAUGAGAUAACGGAAGAAAUGGCGAGCUAUUUUAAGAAGCUAUUUAAGAAAUGUGAAUUCUCAUUAAAGAAGAAGAUCAAUUUUGGGUUGAACCAACAACCUGAUUGUGUGGUUAUUCUGAAUGCAGAUAGAAAGUCUUCGGUCAUACUGGAAGAUGAUCGAUCACAAAUACCUAUUCCACCCUUAGUUGAUUCUACGAUCCCAUGGGAAUCCUAUAAAAGAAUCACUUAUCCCAUCCCAGCGAAUGAUCCUAUACAGUUCGUAUAUCUAUUUCAUCAUUCGAUCAUGAAAACAGUGAUUCUUGAACAGAAUGCGAUUAGUAGAAAAGCGCAAUCUCUCAGAGUCACUUUGAGUACGGGGAAGUCCACAGGAGGGAUGAGAUCCGCCUACUACUCCACCUCUUCUUCUUCCCCAAUAGACGAAGAAGAAAAUAGGGCCAAGGUGCUAUUGGAGAUGCGCAAAAAAUAUCCAUAG